Molecule: long non-coding RNA, 3020 nt
Organism: Mesoplodon densirostris (Blainville's beaked whale)
Lineage: Eukaryota; Metazoa; Chordata; Mammalia; Artiodactyla; Ziphiidae
Exons: 3
Source: RefSeq, a predicted model, not a curated record
UUGUGGGACGCGCUGGUUGGAAAACACAACGAUGGUGCGAGCUGGCUGGGCGUUUCUGGACAUUUGGAAAUUUUAGAAUCUCCCGCGAGAGAGUCGUCUUCGCAUGCGACUGGGGCUAGAGUGGCGUGGAGCUUCAGGAUGCAGAAGUACUCCCCAGUGUGACCUAUGAGACCAGUAAAGGCUCCCUAUUGUGACAUCUGAAGAAGACUCUGACACUUGCUGAUGCAGCCUGGAAUGAGGGUCAAAGACACUGCCAGGCUGUAGGGAGAUAAGAACCACACACCAGGACUCCAGACACUUCCUGAAAGACUCUGCAUCCAGCAAAUUAACCGUCUUUCUUAAUGCCCCAUCCACCUCGCCUAGACUUUCUCUUCUGCUCAGAGCACAUUCCUGAGUUGACUGCAAGUUGAUCAGCAAAAGGCGAGAAUGCAGGGCAGGACCAAGAGGUGCUUAGCAUCGGCAGAGUACCCUGAAAGUGGAUGCUGGUGGUCCUUCUGCAACUGUUGCGAAUAACCCCAGAGCCCAGGAUGCAGCCUCUCACUGCCCCUCCCGACAGGGGCCAUGUGUAAGCAUCUUUCCAAUGGAAGAAGCAGGUCAUGAUUUGAGAAGAGACCAGAUCUUUUCUUUGCUUUUGUCAUCUGGGUGACUGUAAGCUUUACAGACCUCUCCAUGACACCCCAAGACCUGAACAUGAAGGAAGCAGAUUCUGUUUUGCAGAUGGAGGAUCUGGGGCAAAAGAGGAAGAACAUUCUGCCUGGUUCCUUGCAGCAGGAGGAAAGAAAAAAUUUUCCAAGUGCCUUUUGUGUGCCAGGAACUGUGCUAUGAAUUUCAUGCUCCAUACUAUUACUAGUUCACAACUGUGGAACACUUCCUAUAUGUCAGGAACACUUUCUGUAUAUCCAUAUGGCUAUGGGACACUUUGUAUGUGUCACUUUUAUAUACAUCAUCUCAUUUAAUCCACUCAACAACCUUAUUUGAUAAGUACCAUUACCGCCUCCACAACUGAAGUUUAUAAUAUUUGAGUGACUUGCUGAAGGUCACACAGCUACCACAUGACAGAGAGGGACUUCAAACCCAGGGAUGCCAGCCCCAAAGUCCCAAUUCUUUGCAUUACACCACCUCACGUACUGUGCUUGACCCCCUAGUCCGCUGUUUCUAUUUCCUGAAACCCAUCUAACACAAGAGAGAGCAGAGGCUGGUAUUUUAAAGGAAUGAGUAUUUUCCACUACUCUUUUCCCUGGAAACAACCCUGUAUAUCAACUAAUAUUCUACAUUUUCUGAGCUUCAACUUCAUCCCAGGCGCUGUGCUAGAUGCCGCCACAUUAUGUUACAUGAGAGAUGAUAUAGAAUUUUGGGAACAGCCAAUACAUGACCCCACACUUAGCAGACAUGCCUAAUUAAUCAGGACACUCAUUCUGGGUGAGUCUAAAUGCAGCCUCAGAGUCUUUCCCAACACAGAGGUGCAAGAAACUGCUGAAAUCAACCAGCAUCAGCACACACUAGAUGAAGCCUAUUGGCCCUUCCUGCUGCAGAAUUCCACCGGCAGAAAUGACAGUGACAUGGCCACAAGGAAUAAUGGGAUGGAAUCGUUUGAGCAGAAGUUCUGAGAUCAAAGCCUUGUUCUACUCAAAGUCUUGUUCACUAGCUGGGCACCAGCAAGUAAAUUAAACUCUCUGAGCCUGAUUGUCUUCUUCAUCCAAAAUGGUGAUGAUAAUCAGAUCUCAUCUAUGUCACAGGAUGGUUGGAUGCAGAAUUGUUGGUGACAGUGAGAAGCAAGAGACCAUAAGACCAAAAGUCUGGAGUAAGGGUACUGGCAAGAGACAAGACAAUGAGAGAACACAGAAUAUAGAUUUUUGCCUGGGAAAUAGUCUCAGAUUUUCUACAAAGGGGUUGUGUUGGAGGUGGGGUGACUUCAAGGUCUUAAUGCCCUGUGUUACACCACAGGGUUUAUUAUGGUUAAUGGUGGUGGCUUCAUGAGUAAGUGAUGGGGCUAAGCCAUGGCCCUAGAGCUACCCAAGCAAGACAGCAUGGCAGAAACAGGUAGGCUGGGAGCUCCUGGUGUGAUCACACACCAGCUGUGUGAUCUUGGGCAAGUCCUUUAACCUCUCUGAGGAUCAGUUCCAUCCCCUGAGAAAUGAAGACAAUGAUCUGCUUCAUGGUAAAGAUGAAACAAGAUAGUUCCAGACACAUAGUGGGCAAUUUUCCAUCAUGGUACAGGGAGGAGCUGACAGCAGGCUCUGCACGUAUCCUUUGCACUGAGAUCACGCAACAUGGCAGCUGGCACAAAGUAGGUGCUCAUCAGCAUUUACGGGUUCGUUGUUUGGUUGAUUGGGUACCACUUAGGAAGUCACUGAAAGGCUUUAAGCAGAGGAAGAACAUGAUGGGUUUUAAAAUUUUGAGGACAUCACUCUAUCUGCUUUGGGGAGAAGAGGGUAGGGGGACAGGCAUGGGAGUAGGAAGUCCAUUUUGUUGCCCUCCUCCAGGACAGGGACCACGUGGACAGGAGGUCCGGAUUCAGUGGAAGAACAGGGUCCUGAGCAAGUGGAAGGGCUGGAGACUGGGACAUUCAGAACUAAGAUUUCUGAUGAGGUGCUUUUUCUGGUGGUGACAAGAUGCAGGGUGUAAGCAAGGCAGAGUUGGCUAAGAUGCCAUGUGAUAAAAAGGCUGGUGAUGAUUGGAAGCUGGAGAAAUUGAGAAGCUGGAAUGUGGAUGUGUCACUCUUCAUGGACAGUCUCUCAUUUCCUUCUCAAAGCAAAGCUGCUGCGUCGGCACGAUUGCCCUCCUUUAACAGACGAUGAAGGAGAGACUUAAAACAUUCACAAGCAUAUACUAAACUGGGGGGAUGUGGGAAUUCAGGCACUUGUUUAUAGACUCAAUAACUGCAAAGGAUUUAUGGUUUGUGAAAGACUUGCACUGUGGAAAAGAUAAUAAAUUGAAGACAUUAUUGUGUGGAACUGUGCUGAUUUUUGUUGAUAACACUCCACUAAGAACACUAUAUGUUUUCUGGAGAGCUGUGGAAG